AGAGUUUGAUCCUGGCUCAGGACGAACGCUGGCGGCGCGCCUAACACAUGCAAGUCGAACGAGAGAGAGGGAGCUUGCUUCCUCAAUCGAGUGGCGAACGGGUGAGUAACGCGUGAGGAACCUGCCUCAAAGAGGGGGACAACAGUUGGAAACGACUGCUAAUACCGCAUAAGCCCACAGGUCGGCAUCGACCAGAGGGAAAAGGAGCAAUCCGCUUUGAGAUGGCCUCGCGUCCGAUUAGCUAGUUGGUGAGGUAACGGCCCACCAAGGCAACGAUCGGUAGCCGGACUGAGAGGCUGAACGGCCACAUUGGGACUGAGACACGGCCCAGACUCCUACGGGAGGCAGCAGUGGGGAAUAUUGCACAAUGGGGGAAACCCUGAUGCAGCGACGCCGCGUGAGGGAAGAAGGUUUUCGGAUUGUAAACCUCUGUCCUUGGUGACGAUAAUGACGGUAGCCAAGGAGGAAGCCACGGCUAACUACGUGCCAGCAGCCGCGGUAAUACGUAGGUGGCAAGCGUUGUCCGGAAUUACUGGGUGUAAAGGGAGCGUAGGCGGGAAAGCAAGUUGGGAGUGAAAUGUAUGGGCUCAACCCAUAAACUGCUUUCAAAACUGUUUUUCUUGAGUGAAGUAGAGGCAGGCGGAAUUCCUAGUGUAGCGGUGAAAUGCGUAAAUAUUAGGAGGAACACCAGUGGCGAAGGCGGCCUGCUGGGCUUUAACUGACGCUGAGGCUCGAAAGCGUGGGUAGCAAACAGGAUUAGAUACCCUGGUAGUCCACGCCGUAAACGAUGAUUACUAGGUGUGGGGGGACUGACCCCUUCCGUGCCGGAGUUAACACAAUAAGUAAUCCACCUGGGGAGUACGACCGCAAGGUUGAAACUCAAAGGAAUUGACGGGGGCCCGCACAAGCAGUGGAGUAUGUGGUUUAAUUCGAAGCAACGCGAAGAACCUUACCAGGUCUUGACAUCCUUGGAUCGCUUAAGAGAUUAAGCUUCCCCUUCGGGGGCUGAGAGACAGGUGGUGCAUGGUUGUCGUCAGCUCGUGUCGUGAGAUGUUGGGUUAAGUCCCGCAACGAGCGCAACCCUUGUUGCUAGUUGCUACGAAAGAGCACUCUAGUGAGACUGCCGUUGACAAAACGGAGGAAGGUGGGGAUGACGUCAAAUCAUCAUGCCCCUUAUGACCUGGGCUACACACGUACUACAAUGGCCGUAAACAGAGGGAGGCAACACCGCGAGGUGAAGCGAAACCCAAAAAACGGUCCCAGUUCAGAUUGCAGGCUGCAACUCGCCUGUAUGAAGUCGGAAUUGCUAGUAAUCGCAGAUCAGCAUGCUGCGGUGAAUACGUUCCCGGGCCUUGCACACACCGCCCGUCA
RNAcentral lists this ribosomal RNA (1371 nucleotides) under uncultured bacterium. Its description in RNAcentral is "bacterial SSU rRNA". It matches the Rfam family "Bacterial small subunit ribosomal RNA". The record is from RNAcentral.